GUAGGGAAUAUUGCACAAUGGGCGAAAGCCUGAUGCAGCAACGCCGCGUGCGCGAUGAAGGCCUUCGGGUCGUAAAGCGCUUUUCGGGGAGACGAGGAAGGACGGUAUCCCCGGAAUAAGGAUCGGCUAACUACGUGCCAGCAGCCGCGGUAAAACGUAGGAUCCGAGCGUUAUCCGAAUUCACUGGGCGUAAAGCGCGUGUAGGCGGUCUUAUAAGUUGGAUGUGAAAUCUCCUGGCUCAACUAGGAGAGGCCGUUCAAUACUGUAGGACUAGAGGGCAGUAGAGGGAGGUGGAAUUCCCGGUGUAGUGGUGAAAUGCGUAGAUAUCGGGAGGAACACCAGUGGCGAAGGCGGCCUCCUGGACUGUACCUGACGCUCAGACGCGAAAGCUAGGGGAGCGAACGGGAUUAGAUACCCUAGUAGUCC
This 426-nucleotide ribosomal RNA is filed under the name uncultured bacterium. RNAcentral describes it as "bacterial SSU rRNA". It matches the Rfam family "Bacterial small subunit ribosomal RNA", at positions 354 to 796 of the family's 1533-position model. The record is from RNAcentral.